AUAGUAUUCUACAAAGAAAUUAGAAAUCUUUAUUCAAUAGAAGAAUGAUAUUUAGAAUAUCUGUUAUAUAUUUUCAGCUAGAAAAUCUACAUUUUCCUUUGUUAGUUAAUUACUUAGAACCAAUAAACAAAGUUCUUGGAGUUCUUUGGGAAAAUGGUCUUGUCUUAAAAAGCAGACAUCUAUAAAAUGCCAGCCGUUGAAGUCAGGAGUGACUGCAUCGUCUCCCUAACCAAUUUAUAGACCAAAAUGGCUGAUGUCCAUUUUAGGUUUACCUUAUACGUGGCUUUUAAUAUAAAAAUAGUAACAUUUGUGGUUGAAUAUUGACCUCUGCAUAUUUAAACCCAUUUAAUAACAGAUUGCAUUAUUUUAUCAGGGUUUAUGUAAUAUUUCUAAAACAUGUUAUGAUAAUAUAUUGACCAAGAAGAUAACCAUGGAAGAGUUCAGUGGAUUUAUGAUUCUAUUUCAUGCCUCAUCACAUCACUUCAAAGAUUAUACUCUUGGGAGACAACGAAACCUUAGCUCUAAGAAGCUACACCAUAAAAUGAGAGAUGGCUUUAAGUAUUAUUCAUUUCUCAGAUAUAAUAACACAGGGAAAAUUGUCAGACUAGAAACCAGAAUUGUUUGAUUUUGACACUUACAGUGGUGGUACUGAGGGCUGGUUGGAGGGGGAGGUUAAGUAAGUGGAACUCGCAUCUUAGAAGAUAACGAUCAGAAUUAAGAAUGAUCUUCUUAAAUUGGAAACAAACAACUCACAGAAUACGGAACUUCAUAGAAACUGAAAGCUGGAAUGUAACUUGAAAAUAAUCCUUUCCAAAACCACAUUUAAUAGGUGAGGACAUGAAGAUCCAGAAAUGUGGAGUGAGUGGUCCAAGGUCACACUGCUAGUUUUUCAUAGGUGUUGUGCUAGAACCUAGACUUCCAGUCCCCUAGCUCAGUGUUCUUUCUAAUGCAUCCAGUUCCUCAGGGACAAAGGAGUAUCAUACACUGGGGAAGAAGGAAAGCGCACUGCCAAGUCUGCCUUCCAGUCUCUUCUCUAUCUAGAUAAUAGUACUUUCGAAGGCAGGACCCUGUCUCCACGUUUUCCUCAAAGUGACUAUGACUCUGCAACUCAGAGUUGCUCAGCUGCUGUUGCUGUUGGAUCACUGGAAGGUCUGGCUGGUCAUGUAUACACUGAGCAAGAAAAGUUCUUCAACAUUACAGGGAAGUUAACGUAUGGGCAAGUUAACUGUAGCUUAGAAAACAAGCAUAAUGUAGAAAUAAACAAGACAAUGGCAUGCAAGGACCAGAAAAUACAUGAUUUUCUUUUUUCAGUCUUUCUUGGGCUAUUUUCAAGAUUCUGCUAAGCAUUGGGUUCCACUCUUUUUUGCUAAGGAGAGGUAAGAACCUGGAAAGGGUGUAGUUUCUGAGAGAACAAUACUCUCUGACACAUAGAUACUAUAUAACUAAUCUUAUUCUCUAACCACAGAUGCCUCAAAGGCAAGGCUGCCCAUGUGUAGUUCUCUAGCUUGUUCAGUGGAUAAAGGUUUCUGACUAGGCCAGCCUAGUGGCGUAGCAGUUAGGUUCUCGUGCUCUGCUUAAGAAACCAGGGGUUCGCAGAUUCAGAUCCCAGGCACGGACCUAGCACCACUUGUCAGACCACACUGUGGCGGCAUCCCACAUAAAGUGGAGGAGGAUUGGCAUAGAUGUUAGCUCAUUAACAGCCUUCCUCAAGCAAAAAGAGGAAGAUUGGCAACAGAUGUUAGCUCAGGGCCAAUCUUCCUCACAAAGAAAAGAAAAACAAAGGUGCCUGACCAAGGGACAAGGAGGGGGCACCUUUUCUAAUUGGCCUUUUCAGAGGAGGGGCCCUUUUUUAAAUGGUCUGCCCGGAGAGUGGCAUCUUUUCAUAAUUCUCACAAAGGCACCUUAGAGGCAGUCCCCCUGAAAGAUGAGUCCUGACUAAAGGUCAGAAGGAACAAUGGGACAUAAACAAUGGCUUACCCCCUGGCACACAAACUUGGAGACGUUAGAGCAAAGGCAUGAGGAGGCACAAAGCAAUAUAAAAAAAAAUACCUCCAAGGAAUUGUAGGAGGAACUGAGUUUAUUUAACUUGAAAAAGAGACGCGGUACGUAUUAAAAGAUGGUUAAAAAAGUAAAAAAGGUGAACUCUUUCAAAGAAUAGAGUGACUUGUUGCUCUUUAAUUUCAUCCUAAGGGGAUCAAUAGGGAUUUAUUGGAGAAAUAGAAUCCCCUCCAGACAAUGAAGACUAUUAACAUUAGAGAUUGUGGCAUUUCCUCUUCAAGAGACUUCAUAACAUGGGAUGUAUUCCCAUUUGGGAAGAAUGUUAGUUGACUCAGCCUGUCGAUAUUAGAGCAUUAACUGAAGGUUUCUAAAUAUAAAGGUGUUGUUUUUGUUCAUUUCUGGGGGAAAAGGAAGUAUGUGAGGCCCUUGGCUUUUGUGGAGGCUGUGUUCUGAGAGUUCUUCUCCAGCGGGGAGAUUCGUUAGUGCCUGCAAUUGCUGUGCAGAGAGCUGCUGGAGAUGCCAAGGGCCAUGGGUCCAGGAAUUAGGAGAUCCUUAUGCUAGUACAAAUAUCUCUCUUUGUAAAAAGGUUUUAGUCUUUUCCCUUGCUUUUCUUCUCCUACAAUCAAAUCUAGUUUUCCCCAAGGCAGUCUCAUUUAUUUGAAUGUUUAAUAAGCAGUAACUACUGUUAUUAUCUUGUGAAUCCCCUGCUCUGGGCACACAAUGUUCUUCCCUGUUUCCAGAACAUGCUCCUUACCUUUUCUCACAUUCACUUAUUUUUGCAUUCACUCAACAAAUAUUUAUUAGACCUGUGUAUGUAUCAGUAUUGUGCUGAUGACUGAGGAUCAAAUGGUGAAUUGGAUAUAACUCCUACCCUCAAGAAUUUCACAUUUUAGUGGAAAAACAGGCAAGUAAACAAUACUGUUUCCCAGAUCAGAUACUCACAUCCUAAAAUGGUUUCCUGCAUCUGUCAAAUACUGAAAUUCUAUCCAAUGUACCCACCCAGACACUGACUUUUUUCUACACAUAUGAGAUUUUUCAUGUUACUUUAUGUACACAGAAUGUAUGUAUGUAUAUGGUACACACAUAUCUUGUGUAUAUACCUCUUGAGUUUGUGUGUGUCCAUCUAUCAUCUAGCUAGCUAGCUUUGUCCUCAAACUAAAUUUUAAGAUAAAUAAUAAAAAUAAUAACUAAUAUCUUAUUGCUAGUUUACUAGAAACCUGGUGCUAUUCUUAGUGCUUAACACGUAAUCAUGUUAUCUAUUCCUCACAGCUAUCUCUCUGAGUGUUGGUACAAUUGUCAUCCCCAUUUGCAGAUGAAGGUAGCUGAGCACUGAGAGGUUAGGUAAUUUGCCCAAGGUUACAGAGCUAAUGAGCAGCAAAGCCAGGGUUUGAACCCAGAAGUCUGACUGAAGGCCCUCCACUUGAUGUUAAGUCAGAGACCACAUUCAUAUUUGUCUCUCCAUGAUGGCACUUAGAAGAAUGUUCAACAUACAUAAACAACAUCUCCUAAUAUUUGUCUGGUGACUUCGAGGCUACAAAGAACUUUA
RNAcentral lists this long non-coding RNA (3544 nucleotides) under Equus caballus (horse). RNAcentral describes it as "lncRNA (ENSECAG00000052112.1)". Lineage: Eukaryota; Metazoa; Chordata; Mammalia; Perissodactyla; Equidae. The record is from RNAcentral.